CAGCCGCCGCGGGAAUACGUAGGGUGCAAGCGUUAAUCGGAAUUACUGGGCGUAAAGCGUGCGCAGGCGGUUAUAUAAGACAGAUGUGAAAUCCCCGGGCUCAACCUGGGAACUGCAUUUGUGACUGUAUAGCUAGAGUACGGCAGAGGGGGAUGGAAUUCCGCGUGUAGCAGUGAAAUGCGUAGAUAUGCGGAGGAACACCGAUGGCGAAGGCAAUCCCCUGGGCCUGUACUGACGCUCAUGCACGAAAGCGUGGGGAGCAAACAGGAUUAGAUACCCCUGUAGUCUCUGUCUCUUAUAC
RNAcentral lists this ribosomal RNA (301 nucleotides) under uncultured bacterium. Its description in RNAcentral is "partial 16S ribosomal RNA". It matches the Rfam family "Bacterial small subunit ribosomal RNA", at positions 509 to 807 of the family's 1533-position model. The record is from RNAcentral.